RNAcentral lists this RNase P RNA (459 nucleotides) under Bacteroidota bacterium. RNAcentral's name for it is "Bacteroidetes bacterium (groundwater metagenome) RNase P RNA component class A". It matches the Rfam family "Bacterial RNase P class A". From Rfam's summary of the family: Ribonuclease P (RNase P) is a ubiquitous endoribonuclease, found in archaea, bacteria and eukarya as well as chloroplasts and mitochondria. The record is from RNAcentral. Lineage: Bacteria; Pseudomonadati; Bacteroidota.
CUGGUCGACCGGGCAACCGCUCCGUUCCGACAACAUCGGGACGGGGAGGAAAGUCCGAACACCAGUGGGCAAGGCGCCUCGAGUCAAUCGAGGGUCUCGCGGGCUACACCCCGCGGGAACGGAUAGUGUCACAGAAAAGACACAUCCCUUCACCCCGGCACUGUCGGGAUGGAGAGAGAAAGGUGAAAUGGUGGUGUAAGAGACCACCGCACGCCGCCGUAAGGCGCGUGGUCCCGCGCCGAGGGUACGCCUUCGGUCAGGGGAUCCCCUCUCGACGUGCAGUCGAGACGGGACACGACAAACCCCGCCCGGUGCAAGACCAAAUAAGUUACGCUCGAAGUGGCCCGCUUCUGUUCCGCUCUGCGGAGCUGCGUAACGGGUAGGUCGCAUGAGAGAAAUGGUUGCCUCGUCCACGUCACGUGGACAAGACAGAAUUCGGCUUACAGGUCGACCAACGCC